GUUUUGGGACUUAAAAAAACAUCUAAAACCUGCAUAUGAAGGGAGAACAUGUAAAGUGUAGGUAAGCAGGGCUUUAAUCCAGUCUGUUACUGGGCCAACGCAUACGCAGACAGAGAACCAUUUACACUCAGGCACUAAUAAUGGCGAUUUGAGCUCCAAAGAUAUUUACCAACUAGUAAAAUAAAUAAGUGGUCAAAUAAACUAGAAUAAUCUUAAAUCUCUAGAAUAUCUCUGUCUCCACAUGUCCAUUAAACCCGUCCUAUUCCUUGGUCAGGGUCUCACUGAAAGCCUCCACACCUGUUUUUAAUGAACGCCUAACGAAGCCUUGACAGCACUCACAUUAGAAACAGCACUGAUUGUCUUUGCUGCAGCACAGCUUACCCAAAGGAAAAAGUAAGUUUCAAUCUUAUUUCUAUGGUACACUGAUGUGUUAUAUUUCUAUGAAUGUAUCUGAUGUGUGUUUUAGAAUAUAAAAUACAAGGCAAACAAUGGACCACACACACAAUCUGGAGCCGAUUCAGGAAGAGUCUCAGCUAACUGAUGGUACAGAAACAAGUGACGCAGGAAAAAAAGAAAAUGAGGGAUUUCCAUGUGAUGUAGAGAAACAGGUCACAAUUCAAAAAGAUGUAAACUAUCAGGGAAAUGAUGAUGAUGAUGAAGAUGUCCCCCUGCUGAGGCUUCUGAAACCUACGCGACUGUCAUUCAGCCAAAACACAUUCAAUGAGGUGAAAUCUGCCAACAAUCAUGGAAGUGAAGCAGGGCAUUCAUCCACAUCACAUCUGGAUUUAAGUGCGAGAGCUUUUCCAGAAGCUCAGCCACACUUUGAGAAAAGAUCCAGCACUGCAGAGCUGAGCAUGAUGGAGCAAACAUCACCUCAGAUGUCAAGAAAGAGGACAAAGAAGAGGACACUGACGGAGGAUCUGUUUCCUCAGUGGAUCAGAGAGCUGAUGGUCAACAUUGAAGAGGCAACAACCCAUCAACUGGUAGUGGAGUAAAGCAGCUUCACCAGCUAAAGGCCAAGCAAGGUAAACCUGUUGGCCACACUCAGUGAUGACAUCAUGGGGAACGCUGAAUGUAGAGCAAGCGUCCUAGAGCUGGCACUACUACAAAGUAAAGUCCAGUUGCAAUGUCACUGCUGAGUCAUUAAAAAAACAGGACAGGACAAUUUAUUUUUUUAUUUUUUAUUUUCAAAGUGCUUGAAGAAAACAUGGGUUCACAUUAUGCAUAUAUGUAUUUUCUUGAUUUUGACUAGUGGAAAUCAUCAUAAAAAGUGUUUCCUCCCUGCUGACAAAGCGGC
Molecule: long non-coding RNA, 1297 nt
Filed under: Gouania willdenowi (blunt-snouted clingfish)
Lineage: Eukaryota; Metazoa; Chordata; Actinopteri; Blenniiformes; Gobiesocidae
Description: lncRNA (ENSGWIG00000016946.1)
Source: RNAcentral